AGGCUUUAAGUUAAACCAAACUAAUAGCCUUCAAAGCUAUAAAUAUAGGAAUUCCUUUAAAGCCUU
Molecule: transfer RNA, 66 nt
Filed under: Drosophila formosana
Lineage: Eukaryota; Metazoa; Arthropoda; Insecta; Diptera; Drosophilidae
Description: tRNA-Trp
Source: RNAcentral